This 460-nucleotide ribosomal RNA is filed under the name uncultured bacterium. Its description in RNAcentral is "partial 16S ribosomal RNA". It matches the Rfam family "Bacterial small subunit ribosomal RNA", at positions 338 to 795 of the family's 1533-position model. The record is from RNAcentral.
CCUACGGGCUGCAGCAGUGAGGAAUCUUCGUCAAUGGACGAGAGUCUGAACCAGCCAAGUAGCGUGAAGGAUGGCUGCCCUACGGGUUGUAAACUUCUUUUAUAAAGGAAUAAAACGCGGCACGUGUACCUUUUUGCAUGUACUUUAUGAAUAAGGAUCGGCUAACUCCGUGCGAGCAGCCGCGGUAAUACGGAGGAUCCGAGCGUUAUCCGGAUUGAUUGGGUUUAAAGGGAGCGUAGGUGGGUUGUUAAGUCAGUUGUGAAAGUUUGCGGCUCAACCGGAAAAUUGCAAUUGAUACUGGGAGUCUUGAGUACAGUUGAGGUAGGCGGAAUUCGUGGUGUAGCGGUGAAAUGCGUAGAUAUCACGAAGAACCCCGAUUGCGAAGGCAGCUUACUAAACUGUGACUGACAUUGAUGCUCGAAAGUGUGGGUAUCAAACAGGAUUAGAUACCCCUGUAGUC